This is a long non-coding RNA of Melanotaenia boesemani (Boeseman's rainbowfish), 1297 nucleotides long. RefSeq lists it as uncharacterized. The record is from RefSeq and is a predicted model, not a curated record. The transcript has 3 exons. NCBI's taxonomy places the organism in Eukaryota, Metazoa, Chordata, Actinopteri, Atheriniformes, Melanotaeniidae.
AUCUUUUUUUAUGAAAAAAAAGUGUUAAAGAGUAAACAGAAGAAGCUUCACGUCUAGACAUUUCACACACAAAAGACUAGUUCACAGCUGGAACUAGAGACACCUUUACAUACACAAAUACACGCACGCUCACUGCAACGAAGUACUUGCUUGCUACUGACAUCACAUAACAUGAAAUGAUGAGCUACUAACCCUGUCUUGUUUGUUUUCAUGAUUUAGAAAGAACAGAACAUGCUUAGCAAGCUGGUGGCAACAACCUUUCCUCAGUUAUCCAACACUGAUCGGCUCAUUUAUAGAGGAGAAGAAAAUGAGUAAAACGGGAUGAAAAUAAUGUUUUGUUUAUUUUAUCCCUUCAGAUGCAUUCUAAUUGUUACUCACUGACACAUGAAGUUAUAUUUUCUCCAGAUUACCGUCUAACCGUUGACCCAAGAUCAGAUAAGAUGGUAUCUCUCUCAUUACUACAGCUGAAGUAGUGAGAGUGAGUAAAACCUUCCUGCCAGAGGUGGAAAUGUCAACAUACUGAUCCUUAUGUACAUUUCUGUAAUACUGAAUGGCAGUUUCCCUGCUUGGUUCUGUGUGAUGAUGCAAACUGCAAGUCCCCUGAUUUCCUGAAAACCUUAAGUGUGUGCGUGAAUUGCACCAAAACCGUUCAUGUGUCUCUGGGUCCUAAUUAUUUUAUUUUGUCUUUCACAAAUGGCUUAGAUUAGGGUUUUAGUACUCUUGGUACGGUAUCUAUAAUCCAUAUUAAACAAGAAUUGAAUCUGAAACAGUUUUAAAGAUACAAACUGAAAACAUAAUAGAUUUAUUUUUCAGUCAAGCAAACUAAAAAUCUGAAAUCUGUCUGAAAACAGAUGAAUCAAUAAAUAAAUUGCUUAGAGGGAAUUUCCUAAGACCUAAAGAAAAUGCUGAUGUAUGAAUUAAAUUACGUUAAGGAGCUCCUCUAUUAACUGUUAUCAGAUGUAACUGUAUGCAAAUUACUUUUAGUAGAACAAAGAAAACCUUAAAAAACUAAAACAACAAAUGUUGAGGCAGAUAAAAUUACUUUUAGGUCAUUGUUAGCUCUGCAUUAAAACAGGAAAAUGCACUAUAAGAUGACCAGAGAUACCAGAAGAAAAUUAAAACUUGUUUCAUAUUGGUCUGAUAUCCAUGGAUAUUUUAAACUGAUUCUCUUAUACAAAUAAUAAUAAUGAAAAAAAGGGUUUUGUAAAAGACUAAAAGAGGAAAGCGCUGCUCGAGCAAAUUUGGCUGAUGAUGGACACAUCAUUAAAAGAAUUUUAAUUGGGUUUACGUCCAUAUC